GUAGAGCAGCAGAUCAAUUCCUUGGCCACUGNAAUACAUUAGCAUGGGAUAAUGGAAUAGNACCCUGUCCUCCUACUUUUCAGUUGGUUUAUGGCAGCGCGAAGGAACUACGGGGUAAAUGAAUUAAUAAGGGANUAUAGUUGGGGGCCUUAUAUUUAAUUUGUCAGAGUGUGAAAUUCUUGUGACUUUAAUGAAACCGACAUUAAACUUCUGCGCAAAAAGCACUCUUGUCCACAGGAUGUUUUUUCACUUUAAUCACAAGAACGCACAAAGGUUAGAGGGGGAGUCGCAAAGAACGCAAUCACGAAUAUCCGGUCGCUAAAUCCUUAACCAUANAACGAAUGCCGAACCACGCGCAUUAUGAGCAAGAAACGUUUGACAAUUAUCAUAAAACACCCACGCCAAUCGNGAUGUACGUGUAUCGGUUCCCAUAUGUGGCGGUCAUGCGUGGGCUCCGCGUUACAUACGGUGUGUGCGCGCAUGUGGCCGACGNGGGCGCUGGGGUUAUAAGGACCCCGUGCCUUGGGCCAAACCCGAGUGUNAGAAUUGAACAUACCC
This 558-nucleotide ribosomal RNA is filed under the name Acanthamoeba sp. ICL13/T4. Its description in RNAcentral is "partial 18S ribosomal RNA". The record is from RNAcentral. Lineage: Eukaryota; Discosea; Longamoebia; Acanthamoebidae.